CCUACGGGGGGCAGCAGUGGGGAAUAUUGCACAAUGGGGGAAACCCUGAUGCAGCGACGCCGCGUGAGUGAAGAAGUAUUUCGGUACGUAAAGCUCUAUCAGCAGGGAAGAAAAUGACGGUACCUGACUAAGAAGCCCCGGCUAACUACGUGCCAGCAGCCGCGGUAAUACGUAGGGGGCAAGCGUUAUCCGGAUUUACUGGGUGUAAAGGGAGCGUAGACGGCAGCGCAAGUCUGGAGUGAAAUCCCAUGGCUUAACCAUGGAACUGCUUUGGAAACUGUGCAGCUAGAGUGCAGGAGAGGUAAGCGGAAUUCCGAGUGUAGCGGUGAAAUGCGUAGAUAUUAGGAGGAACACCAGUGGCGAAGGCGGCUUACUGGACUGUAACUGACGUUGAGGCUCGAAAGCGUGGGGAGCAAACAGGAUUAGAUACCCCUGUAGUC
Molecule: ribosomal RNA, 440 nt
Filed under: uncultured bacterium
Lineage: Bacteria
Description: partial 16S ribosomal RNA
Rfam family: Bacterial small subunit ribosomal RNA
Source: RNAcentral